AUAUCUCUCCGUACGGGAAGGAUGAGAAGCUUCGACUAAGGUUCGACUCGAGCGAAAGCGAGAAAGCGUUGCCGCAGGCAACGACCCGAAGGGCGAAGCGCGCAGCGCUGAGUAAUCCUUCCCCCACCACCA
Molecule: small RNA, 132 nt
Filed under: Salmonella enterica
Lineage: Bacteria; Pseudomonadati; Pseudomonadota; Gammaproteobacteria; Enterobacterales; Enterobacteriaceae
Description: RtT sRNA
Rfam family: RtT RNA
About the family: This family represents a bacterial cis-regulatory element known as RtT RNA. The exact function of RtT is unknown although it is thought that it may be involved in changing the cellular response in relation to amino acid starvation.
Source: RNAcentral